Molecule: long non-coding RNA, 1415 nt
Filed under: Papio anubis (olive baboon)
Lineage: Eukaryota; Metazoa; Chordata; Mammalia; Primates; Cercopithecidae
Description: lncRNA (ENSPANG00000046001.1)
Source: RNAcentral
CAGGGCUGCAUAGAGUGGUUCUGAGAAAUGUUGCAGAUCAAGUAACUCCUAUUUGAGUGCACGUCCUUUCUAAGAACUGGGAGGGCAUGCACUGAACCAGACAUAACCCUAUGUUUGUCAGCGGCAGACAGCGGUGGGAUCUCGACUUAUUACAGACUCAAGACACUGGAGCAUCUCCAAGACACACUGAAUAGAUUCUCUAAUGGAACUCCUUUGAGGCCUGGCUCCAUGUUUCACUGACAUCGCCUCGCAGACACAUCUUCCUGAUGACUCUCCAUGCUCCUUGGUGGGGAGUGCUGCUGCUCACCAAAGGCUUUCCAUGUGAGGGCAGACAACCACAACACCCUCCAUUCAAGCAGACCCUUUCAGAAGAAACAGGGCACUUACUCAGCAUCUCUGAGUGUCCUGGCACUUUGCAAGUGCCAUCUCCAAGAUGACGUUUUUCUGUGACGGUCACAAAUGCAAAGCAAGACAAAAUCCCAAAGACAAAGACCUUGCGUGUUAAUCAAGGAGAAUGUCAGAGUUCGAACACAUUUAAUCAUUGGUUCAGUCGACUGUGACCAAGCUGCAUAUUGUUUUCUCCUUAUUUGCCUGACUCUCAGAUGAGUUGGGUUUCUUCUACUGAAGUCCGGUUUUGCCAAAUGUGGAUGCAUUCACCCUUCUCCCUCCUAUCCUUGGGUUAUGGAAGACUCUCCGUUUUAGUUUCUUUGUGGAACCGUGUUCUUCUCUUUGGCCAGUGUGAUGGGAGCACAUUGUGCUGGUGAGAUCAGUAGGGCCAUCCUCAAAAGAGACCGUCAACUCUGCCACAAGAAAAAUAGAUUUCUGCGCAGGAUGCCUAGAAAGAAAGCACAUUGGGAAAAGCGAGGUGCCCCUGGUUCUGUGGCCUUGGUGGUUAUGGAGAAACAAUUUGGGGUAAGGCAAUCACCAAGCAAAUGUCUUUCAUUACAAUUGCCUGUCUUUUAAUUUAGGUUUGUUUGGUCACCUAAAUCCAACCUCUGUGACUAACAACUAUGGGGAAGUCUAUAACAGGUCUGGGACACCUUGUGGCUAACUUAACAGGAAGGGAUUGUGUGCACGUCUCCCCCACAGCACAUUGAGAACAUCAUCUCGAGUCACUGUCCUGAGUUCUAUGAAGACGGCAUUAUCUACCCAGUUGAGAGAAGAGGACUUUGGCUGAGAGUGACAAAGUCACACAGCCAGUGACCAGUGGAGACAGAGCCCCUGGAAGAGAGGAAAGGAGGUGUGCAAAUGUGCUCCCUGUGAGGUUGGAAGUGGCCUCUCACCUUCUACCUUACAAGCACCAACUUCCAUCUGUUAUUGCUGGAUGAAAGAACACGUUUCCUAACGAUUCUUUUUUUAAAAAACAAAAUGAGUUUCACUCUUCUUGCCUAGGUUGGAGUGCAAUAGCAUGAUCU